Long non-coding RNA from Scophthalmus maximus (turbot), 400 nucleotides. RefSeq lists it as uncharacterized. Lineage: Eukaryota; Metazoa; Chordata; Actinopteri; Pleuronectiformes; Scophthalmidae. The record is from RefSeq and is a predicted model, not a curated record. The transcript is spliced from 4 exons.
CCCGGUUUGACGGUGUCAGGAGCGUCGGCUAGUGUUGACGAUGCGCUUCAGUACUGAGAGCCAGCGUUCGCGUCUGUAUCCUCUAAAGUCCUCGUACUGAGAUGGACACCAACGUGCUACAGAGUAUCCAGGACUUCAUACCAAUCAACGUUAUAGCUGUGCUAAAUGCUUCUCAGCUCCAGCUCAACGCACGCAGCGUACACGGGAGUGGUGGAUGUCCUCAUUCUGAUCUCCGGCAGACAAAGAAACAAGAUUUUCCCUCCAAAUCCUGCAGAAUUUUGUGAAAAUGACAGAAGUGCUUGUGCCCGGCUGAAAUGUGACACCCUGCCUGCUCAAUGCCAGUUGCAAGUGCCCGUCCGGAGGUCGUGAUUUCAUGUAAGAUUUCUUUAAUGGUUUCCAU